Long non-coding RNA from Amblyraja radiata (thorny skate), 199 nucleotides. RefSeq lists it as uncharacterized. The transcript is spliced from 3 exons. Lineage: Eukaryota; Metazoa; Chordata; Chondrichthyes; Rajiformes; Rajidae. The record is from RefSeq and is a predicted model, not a curated record.
CUGCCACAGAGGGACUGGCACACAGUUAAGCCCCUGUCCCACUUGCGUGUCCUUGGCACGCUAAUUACGCGACCUCAUCGUCGCGUUGAGGUGCGACAGUUCUGCGAAGGUCGCGUGCGACUUCAUUCGCUCGCACAGCCGUCUGGAACGCGUGACGUCAUUUGAAGAUGGACACAAAAUGCAGGAGUAACUCAGUGGG